This 162-nucleotide non-coding RNA is filed under the name alpha proteobacterium BAL199. RNAcentral's name for it is "6S / SsrS RNA". It matches the Rfam family "6S / SsrS RNA". From Rfam's summary of the family: E. coli 6S RNA was the first non coding RNA to be sequenced, but its function was unknown until recently. The record is from Rfam by way of RNAcentral. Lineage: Bacteria; Pseudomonadati; Pseudomonadota; Alphaproteobacteria.
ACGGGGCUGCGCGGUUCGUUAAGGUCGCAUUUACCCCUGGGGCGAUACCAUCCUUCUAGGGAGCUGCCUCUGUCGGGACCGUGGUCCCGACAUUGCGGUGCCCACCUGUCUUGGCAGGCCACAGAAGGGUAAUCAUUGGCCGACGGCCGAGGCGGCUCCGUC